RNAcentral lists this ribosomal RNA (253 nucleotides) under uncultured bacterium. RNAcentral's name for it is "partial 16S ribosomal RNA". It matches the Rfam family "Bacterial small subunit ribosomal RNA", at positions 524 to 776 of the family's 1533-position model. The record is from RNAcentral.
UACGUAGGGGGUAAGCGUUGUCCGGAUUUACUGGGCGUAAAGCGCCUGUAGGCGGCCUGUCAAGUCCGGCCUGAAAGCCCCCCGCUCAACGGGGGAGGGUGGCUGGAAACUGGCAGGCUUGAGGGCGAGAGAGGAGGGUGGAAUUCCAGGUGUAGCGGUGAAAUGCGUAGAUAUCUGGAGGAAUACCGGUGGCGAAGGCGGCAUCCUGGACCGACAUUGACGCUGAUGAGCGAAAGCUAGGGGAGCAAACGGG